Molecule: small nucleolar RNA, 138 nt
Organism: Tachyglossus aculeatus (Australian echidna)
Lineage: Eukaryota; Metazoa; Chordata; Mammalia; Monotremata; Tachyglossidae
Source: RefSeq, a predicted model, not a curated record
CCCCUCCCAGGACUGCACAUGGAAAGUGUCCAGUACUCUACCCAUCUCGGCUACAGGAGGGCGAGUCAAGCAGAGACCUACCCAUUCCAUUUCUAGCUUGGGCAAUGGCUAGUGAGUGGAAGGCAAUCUGCUACAUGU